RNAcentral lists this transfer RNA (90 nucleotides) under Microbacterium oxydans. RNAcentral's name for it is "tRNA-OTHER". Lineage: Bacteria; Bacillati; Actinomycetota; Actinomycetes; Micrococcales; Microbacteriaceae. The record is from RNAcentral.
GCCUGCUGGCCGAUGGACUGUUCGCGCUGGCUGUCGCGACCGGUGACGCGGCAUGGGCGACGACGGCGCUCGGGAUCCUCGACCAGGCAC